AUUGAACGCUGGCGGCAGGCUUAACACAUGCAAGUCGAGCGGGGGAAGGUAGCUUGCUACCGGACCUAGCGGCGGACGGGUGAGUAAUGCUUAGGAAUCUGCCUAUUAGUGGGGGACAACAUCUCGAAAGGGAUGCUAAUACCGCAUACGUCCUACGGGAGAAAGCAGGGGAUCUUCGGACCUUGCGCUAAUAGAUGAGCCUAAGUCGGAUUAGCUAGUUGGUGGGGUAAAGGCCUACCAAGGCGACGAUCUGUAGCGGGUCUGAGAGGAUGAUCCGCAACACUGGGACUGAGACACGGCCCGGACUCCUACGGGAGGCAGCAGUGGGGAAUAUUGGACAAUGGGGGAACCCUGAUCCAGCCAUGCCGCGUGUGUGAAGAAGGCCUUAUGGUUGUAAAGCACUUUAAGCGAGGAGGAGGCUACUUUAGUUAAUACCUAGAGAUAGUGGACGUUACUCGCAGAAUAAGCACCGGCUAACUCUGUGCCAGCCGCCGCCGUAA
RNAcentral lists this ribosomal RNA (500 nucleotides) under uncultured bacterium. RNAcentral's name for it is "partial 16S ribosomal RNA". It matches the Rfam family "Bacterial small subunit ribosomal RNA", at positions 30 to 523 of the family's 1533-position model. The record is from RNAcentral.